CCCUUAGAUGUUCUGGGCCGCACGCGUGCUACACUGACCGGCGCAACAAGUUUCUUUCCUUGGCUCGAUAGGCCUGGGUAAUCUUUGAACGCCGGUCGUGAUGGGGAUAGAUCCUUGCAAUUUUUGAUCUUCAACGAGGAAUUCCUAGUAAAUGCGAGUCAUCAUCUCGCGUUGAUUACGUCCCUGCCCUUUGUACACACCGCCCGUCGCACCUACCGAUUGAAUGGUCCGGUGAAGCCUCGGGAUUGCGAAUGCUUCGUGCGGACGCGAGAACUUGGCUAAACCUUACCAUUUAGAGGAAGGUGAAGUCGUAACG
This 316-nucleotide ribosomal RNA is filed under the name uncultured eukaryote. RNAcentral's name for it is "partial 18S ribosomal RNA". It matches the Rfam family "Eukaryotic small subunit ribosomal RNA", at positions 1470 to 1796 of the family's 1831-position model. The record is from RNAcentral.